AGUGAACGCUGGCGGUAGGCCUAACACAUGCAAGUCGAACGGCAGCACAGUAAGAGCUUGCUCUUACGGGUGGCGAGUGGCGGACGGGUGAGGAAUACAUCGGAAUCUACUUUUUCGUGGGGGAUAACGUAGGGAAACUUACGCUAAUACCGCAUACGACCUACGGGUGAAAGCAGGGGAUCUUCGGACCUUGCGCGAUUGAAUGAGCCGAUGUCGGAUUAGCUAGUUGGCGGGGUAAAGGCCCACCAAGGCGACGAUCCGUAGCUGGUCUGAGAGGAUGAUCAGCCACACUGGAACUGAGACACGGUCCAGACUCCUACGGGAGGCAGCAGUGGGGAAUAUUGGACAAUGGGCGCAAGCCUGAUCCAGCCAUGCCGCGUGGGUGAAGAGGGCCUUCGGGUUGUAAAGCCCUUUUGUUGGGAAAGAAAAGCAGCAGGUUAAUACCCCGCUGUUCUGACGGUACCCAAAGAAUAAGCACCGGCUAACUUCGUG
This 492-nucleotide ribosomal RNA is filed under the name uncultured bacterium. RNAcentral's name for it is "partial 16S ribosomal RNA". It matches the Rfam family "Bacterial small subunit ribosomal RNA", at positions 29 to 507 of the family's 1533-position model. The record is from RNAcentral.